This 437-nucleotide ribosomal RNA is filed under the name uncultured bacterium. RNAcentral's name for it is "partial 16S ribosomal RNA". It matches the Rfam family "Bacterial small subunit ribosomal RNA", at positions 29 to 507 of the family's 1533-position model. The record is from RNAcentral.
AGCGAACGCUGGCGGCAGGCUUAACACAUGCAAGUCGAGCGGGCAUCCUUGUGGUGUCAGCGGCAGACGGGUGAGUAACGCGUGGGAACGUGCCCUUCGGUUCGGAAUAACUCAGGGAAACUUGAGCUAAUACCGGAUACGUGCGAGAGCAGAAAGGUUUAUCUGCCGAAGGAUCGGCCCGCGUCUGAUUAGCUAGUUGGUGAGGUUAUGGCUCACCAAGGCGACGAUCAGUAGCUGGUCUGAGAGGAUGGUCAGCCACACUGGGACUGAGACACGGCCCAGACUCCUACGGGAGGCAGCAGUGGGGAAUAUUGGACAAUGGGGGCAACCCUGAUCCAGCCAUGCCGCGUGAGUGAUGACGGCCUUAGGGUUGUAAAGCUCUUUUCUCCGGGACGAUAAUGACGGUACCGGAGGAAUAAGCCCCGGCUAACUUCGUG